UAUAUUAUUGUUAUUCAUCAAUGCCGGGACAUACCCAUUUGAUCUAAUUAGUUUAAUUAGAGCCACCAGUCAGGUUCGCUAUUUGGAAAUCAUUACGCCGUGUGUUUGAGGUUCCUUUCUGUCACAAAACCCACAAUUAUCGAUGGCAAAGCCAGUGUCAGAUUCGCACAGCAACACACCGGCGAUACAAGCGACGAACGACGACGCUUCAGCCAGUAAAUUGUCCUGUGUGAAAAAAGGAUACAUGAAGGAUGACUACAUCCAUUUAUUUGUUAGACGACCUGUGAGGAGAUCCCCAAUAAUCAACCGCGGCUACUUUGCGCGUUGGGCUGCUCUUCGGAAGUUUCUAUAUCAGUUUCUUGAUUGUGAAAUGAAUGCUGAUGAAAAAGGUCAUACGAAGAAGCAGAUACUGUCGAUUGGGGCAGGUUUUGAUACAACUUACUUUCAGUUACAGGAUGAGGGAAAAGCACCAUCUUUAUACGUGGAGCUGGAUUUCAAGGAGGUAACUAGUAAAAAGGCAGCAAUUAUUGAAUCCUACAGUCAGUUGAGGGAUAAAGUUGGUGCUACAUCAUCAAUCUCACGAGAGAAAGGAGAAGUGCUUGGUGAUAAUUACAAGCUGCUACCAGUUGACUUGCGAGAUAUACAAAAACUAGAUGAUAUCAUAGCUUUGGCUAAUAUGGAUCCCAGAUUGCCGACAUUUAUAAUUGCAGAAUGCGUUUUAAUAUACUUGGAUCCAGAUUCAACGCGAGCUAUAGUUGGUUGGGCAUCAAGGACAUUUUCAACUGCUGUGUUUUUCUUAUAUGAGCAGAUCCACCCUGAUGACGCUUUUGGACAGCAGAUGAUUAGAAAUUUGGAGAGUCGUGGCUGUGCAUUACUGGGAAUUUAUGAUACACCAACUCUGCUUGCAAAGGAAAGACUUUUUCUUGAUCAGGGAUGGCAGAGGGUUGUUGCAUGGGACAUGCUGAGAGUUUAUAGUGAUUUUAUUGAAGCUCAAGAAAGGCGCAGGAUUGAACGGCUGGAAUUAUUUGAUGAGUUUGAAGAGUGGCACAUGAUGCAGGCAAGCUAAUUCGUCAUUCAUGCUUCAAAAAAAAGUAAAAAGUGCUAUAGGAGCACUACUGUGUGGCUUGCGCCAUAAAUGAUGCCAUGGGGCUCUUUGGGAAUUUCGGUUUUCCUACCCACCAGCAGCACGUGAUCAGCAACCCUUCAGCAGCAUCUCCAUGAAAGCCCAAGACUGCACCAGAGUGUGGCUGCUCAUUGCCAUGUUUGGUUAAACAAAUAGUAUCAGGGCAGUGCCUAUGACUGACGCGUGCCAGUUAACCAGGUUAAGAGGUUGUCAGGUAAGAAGAGUCUCUCAAGCUAGUAGUAGUUAGGCUUUACUAAAAGUCUCCAUGAGGAUUGAUGACUUAUGUGGUUGGAUCUGUGUGCGUCGUUUGUCCGACUCUAGAAGACAGAUCCUUUCUUUUCUGUGCUAGCUGUUUGGCAAAACAAAUCGUGGUGGGUCCCUACACCCACCGGACUGUGUCAUAUAUAAUAUAAUGGCUUGUUUUUGGAGGGGGGGUCCAUGUCGUGUGGAAAAUAUACAUGCAUAGUUGGUUGCUUUUCUAUGUAUUCCCCCUUAGAAUUUAUUCUUCCUUGGCUCAUCUUCUGAGCUUUGAAAGCCCUUUUUAGGUCUUUAUUUAUUUUUCCCAGAUGACCAAAAUGCCAUUGAGAGCGGUAAGAGUUGCAAAAUUCAACGUGAAACUGCGACUAUCGAUGUGUCAUCCUGACUCUUUAUGUGGUUUGCUUGGACUGUGAAGUGCAAAUCUCUGAAUUUGUAAGGCAAAAUGGUGUUCUUUUCACAUUUGAUUCAAAAUUUAUUAUUUUUUUU
Jatropha curcas is the source of this 1867-nucleotide RNA transcript. It is a transcript of the gene named Leucine carboxyl methyltransferase, with no coding region annotated. Lineage: Eukaryota; Viridiplantae; Streptophyta; Magnoliopsida; Malpighiales; Euphorbiaceae. The record is from RefSeq and is a predicted model, not a curated record.